GACGAACGCUGGCGGCGUGCUUAACACAUGCCAGUCGAACGGAAAGGCCCUGCUUGCCGGGUACUCGAGUGGCGAACGGGUGAGUAACACGUGGGUGAUCUGCCCUGCACUUCGGGAUAAGCCUGGGAAACUGGGUCUAAUACCGGAUAGGAGCCAUUUUUAGUGUGAUGGUUGGAAAGUUUUUUCGGUGUAGGAUGAGCUCGCGGCCUAUCAGCUUGUUGGUGGGGUAAUGGCCUACCAAGGCGGCGACGGGUAGCCGGCCUGAGAGGGUGGACGGCCACAUUGGGACUGAGAUACGGCCCAGACUCCUACGGGAGGCAGCAGUGGGGAAGAUUGCACAAUGGGCGCAAGCCUGAUGCAGCGACGCCGCGUGGGGGAUGACGGCCUUCGGGUUGUAAACUCCUUUCGCUAGGGACGAAGCUUUUUGUGACGGUACCUAGAGAAGAAGCACCGGCUAACUACGUG
This 465-nucleotide ribosomal RNA is filed under the name uncultured bacterium. RNAcentral describes it as "partial 16S ribosomal RNA". It matches the Rfam family "Bacterial small subunit ribosomal RNA", at positions 28 to 507 of the family's 1533-position model. The record is from RNAcentral.